AGUGAACGCUGGCGGUAGGCCUAACACAUGCAAGUCGAACGGCAGCACAGUAAGAGCUUGCUCUUAUGGGUGGCGAGUGGCGGACGGGUGAGGAAUACAUCGGAAUCUACUUUUUCGUGGGGGAUAACGUAGGGAAACUUACGCUAAUACCUCAUACGACCUACGGGUGAAAGCAUGGGAUCUUCGGACCUUGCUCGAUUGAAUGAGCCGUUGUCGGAUUAGCUAGUGUGUGGGGUAAAGGCCCACCAAGGCGACGAUCCGUAGCUGGCUUGCGUGGAUGUUCAGCGAUACUGGAAAUGAGACAUCGUCCAGACUCGUAGGGGAGGCAGAAGUUGGGAGUAUUGGACAUCGUGCGCAAGCUUGAGCCACCCAUACCACUUGUGUGAAGAAGGCCUCCGGGUUGUAAAGCCUUUUUGUUGAGAAAGAAAAGCAGCAGGUGAAUACCGCGCUGUUCUGACGGUACCCAAAGAAUAAGCACCGGCUAGCUUCGUG
This 492-nucleotide ribosomal RNA is filed under the name uncultured bacterium. RNAcentral's name for it is "partial 16S ribosomal RNA". It matches the Rfam family "Bacterial small subunit ribosomal RNA", at positions 29 to 507 of the family's 1533-position model. The record is from RNAcentral.